GAUGAACGCUAGCGGCAGGCUUAAUACAUGCAAGUCGUGGGGCAGCACAGGGUAGCAAUACUUGGGUGGCGACCGGCAAACGGGUGCGGAACACGUACGCAACCUUCCUUCAGGCGGGGAAUAGCCCAGAGAAAUUUGGAUUAAUACCCCAUAAGAUUUUGAGAUGGCAUCAUCUUAUUAUUAAAGAUUUAUCACCUGAAGAUGGGCGUGCGGCUGAUUAGGUAGUUGGCGGGGUAACGGCCCACCAAGCCUACGAUCAGUAGCUGAUGUGAGAGCAUGAUCAGCCACACGGGCACUGAGACACGGGCCCGACUCCUACGGGAGGCAGCAGUAAGGAAUAUUGGUCAAUGGACGCAAGUCUGAACCAGCCAUGCCGCGUGGAGGAUGAAGGUCCUCUGGAUUGUAAACUUCUUUUAUCUGGGACGAAAAAAGGGUUUUCUAACUCGUCUGACGGUACCAGAUGAAUAAGCACCGGCUAACUCCGUGCCAGCA
This 492-nucleotide ribosomal RNA is filed under the name uncultured bacterium. RNAcentral's name for it is "bacterial SSU rRNA". It matches the Rfam family "Bacterial small subunit ribosomal RNA", at positions 28 to 513 of the family's 1533-position model. The record is from RNAcentral.